GCCCGCGUAGCUCAGUUGGUCAGAGCGCCUGCCUUGUAAGCAGGAAGUCGAAGGUUCAAAUCCGUUCCGUGGGCACCA
Molecule: transfer RNA, 78 nt
Filed under: Microbulbifer sp. ZGT114
Lineage: Bacteria; Pseudomonadati; Pseudomonadota; Gammaproteobacteria; Cellvibrionales; Microbulbiferaceae
Also listed under: 1 other name
Description: tRNA-Thr
Rfam family: tRNA
About the family: Transfer RNA (tRNA) molecules are approximately 80 nucleotides in length. Their secondary structure includes four short double-helical elements and three loops (D, anti-codon, and T loops).
Source: RNAcentral